GCUUAACGCGAAGAACCUUACCCACCUUUGACAUGUACGGAAGUUGCCAGAGAUGGUUUCGUGCUCGAAAGAGAGCCGUAACACAGGUGCUGCAUGGCUGUCGUCAGCUCGUGUCGUGAGAUGUUGGGUUAAGUCCCGCAACGAGCGCAACCCUUGUCAUUAGUUGCUACGAAGGGGCACUCUAAUGAGACUGCCGGUGACAAACCGGAGGAAGGUGGGGAUGACGUUAAGUCCUCAUGGCCCUUAUAGGUGGGGCUACACACGUCAUACAAUGGCCGGUACAAAGGGCAGCCAACCCGCGAGGGGGAGCUAAUCCCAUAAAGCCGGUCGUAGUCCGGAUCGCAGUCUGCAACUCGACUGCGUGAAGUCGGAAUCGCUAGUAAUCGUGGAUCAGCAUGUCUCGGUGAAUACGUUCCCGGGUCUUGUACACACCG
RNAcentral lists this ribosomal RNA (434 nucleotides) under uncultured bacterium. Its description in RNAcentral is "bacterial SSU rRNA". It matches the Rfam family "Bacterial small subunit ribosomal RNA", at positions 954 to 1392 of the family's 1533-position model. The record is from RNAcentral.